This 90-nucleotide transfer RNA is filed under the name Pseudomonadota bacterium. RNAcentral describes it as "tRNA-Ser". It matches the Rfam family "tRNA". From Rfam's summary of the family: Transfer RNA (tRNA) molecules are approximately 80 nucleotides in length. Their secondary structure includes four short double-helical elements and three loops (D, anti-codon, and T loops). Further hydrogen bonds mediate the characteristic L-shaped molecular structure. tRNAs have two regions of fundamental functional importance: the anti-codon, which is responsible for specific mRNA codon recognition, and the 3' end, to which the tRNAs corresponding amino acid is attached (by aminoacyl-tRNA synthetases). tRNAs cope with the degeneracy of the genetic code in two manners: having more than one tRNA (with a specific anti-codon) for a particular amino acid; and 'wobble' base-pairing, i.e. permitting non-standard base-pairing at the 3rd anti-codon position. RNAcentral also lists the same sequence under 1 other name. Lineage: Bacteria; Pseudomonadati; Pseudomonadota. The record is from RNAcentral.
GGAGACGUGGCCGAGCGGUUGAAGGCAGCAGUCUUGAAAACUGCCGAGGAGGAAACUCCUUCGUGAGUUCGAAUCUCACCGUCUCCGCCA